This 2554-nucleotide unclassified non-coding RNA is filed under the name Hevea brasiliensis (rubber tree). The record is from RNAcentral. Lineage: Eukaryota; Viridiplantae; Streptophyta; Magnoliopsida; Malpighiales; Euphorbiaceae.
AAAACUUGUAAACAUUGAUUGAUAAGUGGGAAGGGAAGGGGGUGCUUAUUGUUUAUGAAAAAAAGUAAUAAUUUUGAGUAUCCAAAUCAUUGCCUUGAACUUUUAGUUGAGGCAAACAAAUCUAAAUCUCCUGAUAAUCCAAGAUUGAUUACUACCAACUAAUCCAAUUCUCUUCUGAUAUUACCUAGACAUCAAUAAAACCCCACCUGAGGUUAUGUCAAAAGAAAUUCCAAGAAAUAGAUGAAUAAAAGGAAACAAAAAAGCAAUCUAAUUUGUCAGGCCACCAGAAGCAGCUUUAUCUGAUCUCUCUGUCUUUUUAAUGAUUCCAUAGCCCUUCUCUCUCCAAGAUUAUUUCACAAUAAAUCCAAGCUUCGAAAUAUAUAUAUUUUUCUUUCUUUCACACUCCUCCUCUUGCACCUGUUCCAUGCUUGUGCUUCUUUAUUGCUUUGUCUGUGUAUGUAAAACUUCUGCAACAUCUCAGCACUGGUGCAGAAAGUUUUGUGUCUCAGAUCCCAAUAUACUGCCCUCCGGCCCCCUUUCUAUCUAUCUCUCUUACACCACUAACAAGAAAGCACUGUUCUUUCUCUCUCUUUCCCCCUUGCAGCACCCAUUAAACACUGUAUCACUCUGAAAUACGAGUCUUUCUUGUGGUCCUAAAAACACUCUACAGUUACCUUUCGAUCUUCGCUCUCUUUGUAAUUUCCCCUUUUGUUUUGGUAUACUUCUAUCCCUUUACUUUCCUCCCUAUAUAUACAUACAUAUAUACAAAUAUAAUACAUAUUUUCUAUAGUCCUAACAGACAAAUGCAAGAACCAAACUUGGGUAUGAUGAGCAGUGGUAGCAGUAGGGCAAUUGGUGGUUUAAACAGUGUAGAAGUGUCUAUGUCUCCAACUGGAGACCAGACUCGCCAACUCAAGGCGGAAAUAGCUACCCAUCCUCUGUAUGAACAGCUACUAGCGGCCCAUGUGUCUUGUCUCCGCGUUGCUACACCGAUUGACCAGUUGCCUCUUAUUGAUGCUCAGUUAUCAGAGUCUCAGCAUCUUCUACGGUCUUAUGCUUCACACCAUAACCAAUAUGGCCGUUCUCUCUCUUCCCAUGAAAGGCAGGAUCUUGACAACUUUUUGGCGCAGUAUUUGAUAGUAUUGUGUAGUUUCAAGGACCAACUUCAACAACAUGUCAGAGUCCACGCUGUUGAAGCAGUGAUGGCCUGCCGGGAAAUUGAAAACACUUUACAAGCUCUCACUGGAGUAAGUCUAUGCGAAGGCACAGGUGCAACAAUGUCUGAUGAUGAGGAUGAUCUGGAAAUGGAUCUCUCUUUAGAUCAAUCCAGUGGUGAUGGGCAUGACCUCAUGGGAUUUGGUCCUCUGCUUCCAACAGAAUCUGAAAGGUCUCUCAUGGAGAGAGUUCGGCAAGAAUUGAAGAUUGAAUUAAAGCAGGUGUGUUUCCCAACUGAAGCUCCCCUAUUGUAUUCCAUUAACAGGGAUUUACAAGCAAGAAAAUUAUUUUGAGAAGCUAACUUAGCAAUCUUUUUUAAGCCAUAAUACUCUAAUAAUUGCAUUUUCAGGGUUUUAAAUCAAGAAUUGAAGAUGUCAGGGAGGAAAUAUUAAGAAAAAGAAGGGCUGGAAAACUUCCAGGUGAUACAACCAUAGUGCUGAAAAAUUGGUGGCAGCAACACUCUAAGUGGCCAUACCCAACAGUAAGCAGCCGGCCACCCUAGCCAAAAUUUACUAUCAAAACAUUAAGUUACAAAACGCCAUUUUCAGAAUUCUACUAGAUUAACUUUCUAGUAACCUUAUUAAAUAUGAUUGGAUAAUAGACAGAUAACCAGUAACCCUGAAGAUGUCAAGAUUCUGCCAAAUGUCUGGAAAGAAGUCGCUGCUAAAAAUGAUUAGUUUUAGCAAUUGCUUGGAUUGAAGCUAAAAAUGCAUAUAUUUUCACAAGCUGAAAACUAAAAUUUGUCAACAAAGUUACAUGUAUAUGAUACUUGCAGGAAGACGACAAGGCAAAACUUGUGGAGGAGACAGGCUUGCAACUAAAGCAGAUCAAUAACUGGUUCAUCAAUCAAAGGAAGCGAAACUGGCACAGCAACUCUCAAUCUGUGACAUCUUUGAAGUCUAAGCGAAAAAGGUAGACAAAACCAUUUAUUUUGCUUCAGAUGAAGACUCCCAGCAAAGAAGAAGGAACUAGUUUUGUGUUGAUACAGUUGUGAUGUGAUCGUGGGGUAAAUAGUACUACUACUCGCUAACAACCAGGAGUGUAAUAGAUGAACUUGAUAUAGCUUACACAUAAGGUUGUAGAUUCUUAUCCAUAACAGGAUAAUGCUAUUCUCUGUAUCGUCUCCCUUUUCACUCUUUACUGCUUCUGUAUAAUCUAUUCUCACACAUAUAUAUGGUUGUUGCUCCAAUUAUAACCCCUUUGAAAGAAGCCUAAGCUGAGAGGGUGGCCAUGAACACCUGAAUCUGUAAUUGAGAGCUUGGAACAAAACUUACCAUUACAAAGGAAUAUCAAGGGACAUACAUGCUGAUUCAAAGCUCCAAAAUUUACUAGAUUAGAG